Molecule: transfer RNA, 85 nt
Filed under: Felis catus (domestic cat)
Lineage: Eukaryota; Metazoa; Chordata; Mammalia; Carnivora; Felidae
Rfam family: tRNA
About the family: Transfer RNA (tRNA) molecules are approximately 80 nucleotides in length.
Source: Rfam by way of RNAcentral
GCCUGGGUGGCUCAGUCGGUUAAGCAUCUGACUUCGGCUCAGGUCAUGAUCUCAUGGCUUGUGAGUUCAAGCCCCACGUCGGGCU